Equus caballus (horse) is the source of this 1609-nucleotide long non-coding RNA. NCBI's taxonomy places the organism in Eukaryota, Metazoa, Chordata, Mammalia, Perissodactyla, Equidae. The record is from Ensembl.
GGAAGCACAAAGUCCCCUGGUGGGUCACUGGGAGCGAUGGUCCUAGGAGACAUUCCAGAGAGGCCAAGGCUGGGAGGCAAAACCCAUUUUGAUCCAUGACAAUAGCAGACAACUGGAAACCUUACUUUAGGGUGGAAGGGUCUUCCAGAUGCCCCUCAAAUCAACAAGGAGUGUUCCAGCAUCGUGGGAGGUCCAUCAGCCCAUAGGGCAAGUCCUUCCAUCCUCGGUGAUAGGGAUGCAACAGCAAUUCCAGCUGACACUUAUUGAACGCUGGCUGCACACAGCUCCACGCACUGUCGUGUACUAACUCGCUUCAUCUCCAUGAGUGACUGCUGCUGUUGUCCCCAUGUUAUUGACGAGAAAGCUUAGGCAGAAGGGAUUACAUCUUUGGGACAACCGAGAAGAGCGGGGCAGAGCCUCGGCCCGGCCAGCCCGCCCUGGAGCCCACGUCUCCGGCCGUUGGACAGCUCCAGCCGUCACAACGUUCUUCACCGUCUUGAAGUAAAAUCUCCUGGAACUUGUGCCCCUCAGUCCUGGUUCUGCAUUUGGGGGUCUCCCUGCUGAAGCCAGCUCCUCUCCAGCAAGAUGGCCCUGCAGGUGGGCGCCUUCAGCUCCAAGUGUCCCCACCCCAGCUCCUCAGCUCCAGACUGAAAAUGCCAUUAACUGUGGCUCGUGGGCCAUGACGUCAGGAGCCCCCUCCACCCUGGACGCCCUUGUCUGAGCUCCCCUGCAUGUGAAGCCCCCUCGACAGGGGCAGCUGAGAGCAGGAGCCCCGAAGAAGCUCUGACAGCAGCAGGGGGAGCACCAUCUCCAACCUUCCUGGAUCUGUGGUCUAGUCAGGAAUUCUUGGCUACACGGUUCUCAACGUCAUGUGCUCCAGAAUCUUCUAGGUCGAAGCUGCAGACCCGCAGACCCCCCAUCUGACACCCAGCAUUAGGAAGAUAUGGUGAACCCAGAACCUGCAUUUGGAAAAAAAGCCACAAGGCGUUUCUAAGUGGAAAAGGUGGAUGUCUCUCAACUCUACCUUGAGAAACCCAGCCUGAGGUCCCAGCACCUCCCUGGCCACCACCCUCAUGUGAGGGUCAACUCAAACCCCCAGUGUCCUCUCUGCAGGCUGGGGGACCCCCGCCUCCAGCCAUGCUCCCACCUCCGGCCUUGGCAGCUGAGGCCCCCAGCCCAGGACCAUCACGGGGCCAUUGGAAAGCCCGGGGCAGAGGGUAUCCGGCUUCCUCAGCAAAAGCACGCUCCCUCUGCCCCAGCCCCCUUCUCCUUAUUUCUUCCUUCACACCACGCUCAUGCCCACCGCAGGGCCUUAGCACCUGCUAGUCUCUUCCCGAGCUCUCCCUGCGGUUGGUGCCUCUCCCCACCUCCUCACUGAGGCCUUGUCUGACCAUUCCACCUGCAGUUGACCCCUCUCCAGCACAUGACUCUGCUCCAUUUUCUCACAGCACUGAAAUGCCCUGCAUGUUGUCUGCCUCCACUAUAAAGGAAGCCCGUGUCUCUUGUUCCUCUCUGUGCCUCAGUUUCCAUAGCUGUAAAAUGGGAAUAAUGUUACCUCACGGGGCUGCUGGGAUGAUCAAAGUCCACAUACACAUAACACUCAGAACAG